CCUACGGGAGGCAGCAGUGGGGAAUAUUGGACAAUGGGGGGAACCCUGAUCCAGCCAUGCCGCGUGUGUGAAGAAGGCCCUCGGGUUGUAAAGCACUUUCAGUGAGGAAGAACGCCUGGUGGUUAAUACCCAUCAGGAAAGACAUCACUCACAGAAGAAGCACCGGCUAACUCCGUGCCAGCAGCCGCGGUAUUACGGAGGGUGCGAGCGUUAAUCGGAAUUACUGGGCGUAAAGCGCGCGUAGGUGGCUUGAUAAGCCGGUUGUGAAAGCCCCGGGCUCAACCUGGGAACGGCAUCCGGAACUGUCAAGCUAGAGUGCAGGAGAGGAAGGUAGAAUUCCCGGUGUAGCGGUGAAAUGCGUAGAGAUCGGGAGGAAUACCAGUGGCGAAGGCGGCCUUCUGGACUGACACUGACACUGAGGUGCGAAAGCGUGGGUAGCAAACAGGAUUAGAUACACCGGUAGUC
Molecule: ribosomal RNA, 465 nt
Filed under: Vreelandella stevensii
Lineage: Bacteria; Pseudomonadati; Pseudomonadota; Gammaproteobacteria; Oceanospirillales; Halomonadaceae
Description: partial 16S ribosomal RNA
Rfam family: Bacterial small subunit ribosomal RNA
Source: RNAcentral